Molecule: ribosomal RNA, 690 nt
Filed under: uncultured Acidobacteriota bacterium
Lineage: Bacteria; Pseudomonadati; Acidobacteriota
Description: bacterial SSU rRNA
Rfam family: Bacterial small subunit ribosomal RNA
Source: RNAcentral
AUCCUGGCUCAGAAUCAACGCUGGCGGCGUGCCUAACACAUGCAAGUCGAACGCGAAAGCCCCGAAAGGGGCAAGUAGAGUGGCAAACGGGUGAGUAACACGUGGGUGACCUGCCUUCGAGCGGGGGAUAACGUCCCGAAAGGGACGCUAAUACCGCAUAACAUCCUGCCUUUGAAGAGGCGGUGAUCAAAGCUGGGGAUCGCAAGACCUAGCACUCGAAGAGGGGCCCGCGUCCGAUUAGCUAGUUGGUGAGGUAACGGCUCACCAAGGCAACGAUCGGUAGCCGGCCUGAGAGGGCGGACGGCCACACUGGGACUGAGACACGGCCCAGACUCCUACGGGAGGCAGCAGUGGGGAAUUGUUCGCAAUGGGCGCAAGCCUGACGACGCAACGCCGCGUGGAGGAUGAAGAUCUUCGGGUCGUAAACUCCUUUCGAUCGAGACGAAUUCCUUCGGGGUGAACAAUCCCGGAGGUUGACGGUACCGAGAGAAGAAGCCCCGGCUAACUCCGUGCCAGCAGCCGCGGUAAUACGGGGGGGGCAAGCGUUGUUCGGAAUUACUGGGUGUAAAGGGCUCGUAGGUGGCCAACUAAGUCAGACGUGAAAUCCCUCGGCUUAACCGGGGAACUGCGUCUGAUACUGGUUGCUUGAGUUUGGRAGAGGGAUGCGGAAUUCCAGGUGUAGCGGUGAAA